This is a long non-coding RNA of Aegilops tauschii subsp. strangulata, 898 nucleotides long. RefSeq lists it as uncharacterized. The record is from RefSeq and is a predicted model, not a curated record. NCBI's taxonomy places the organism in Eukaryota, Viridiplantae, Streptophyta, Magnoliopsida, Poales, Poaceae.
UUGUUGACGGUCACUACUCACUAAGGUGGUUUUAUUGAACAGAACUUGGUAUUUUUGUUUGAAGAUGAACUCCACCAACAACUAUUAUAUGGUAGACACGACUCGCGUUGAACUACUAAAAUAAGUACGUCAUUUGGUGCAACACACGAGCAAUUAAUUAGUACACUAAUAAAGGCAAGACAUAAUCCAGGAGGCUAUCUCAUCUGCCCGCGUGUUAAUAAGGAACUGAUUAAUACAUGAAGAUAUAAUAGGGAAAAAUUAAUUCUAAAACAUUUACCAGCGCAUCGAUAAGGAAAGGAUAAAUACGUGAAGAUAUAAUGGGCAAAAAUUGAUUCUAAAGUAUUUGCCAGCGCGUUGAUAAGGAAAGGAUAAGUACAUGAAGAUAUAAUGGGCGAAAAUUGAUUUAAAGUAUUUGCCAGCACGUUAAUACAGGAAAUAAUAAAAUGACAUUAAUCCAUUCUCCUAUCUCUAUCUAUAUAAACACUAGCACGCCCUGUUCCGGUGACAUCGUCGCUACAGAAGGACACCAACGGUACAAAGAAAAGGAUCACCAACAUGACGCGCACCAGAGACAACACUGCAGUUCUGUGCUUGAUGGCUCUCCUGGCCAUGUCUACCACCAUCAUUUCCUGCCAUGCAGAAGGUACCACCAAGAUGUGUGUACGGGCGAAAACCUGCGCGCCCACGCCGCCACCAAACUACGACGGAGUGUGCAAGCUUUACUGCAGAACUCAGGGUUACGACAUGGAUGCAAGCUAUUGCACGGCAGAGCAUGGUGGCACGUGCUGCUGCGUGAGGAAAUAACUUGUUGAGAAUUGAGAUGAGGUUGGGAUGCAUCACACUUGUAUUCAUCCACAAAGGGUAAUAAUAUAUAGAGUACAUCAUUUUUUUAAACGAA